AUGCAGAUGGUGUCCUCAGGUCAAACCUCCAUCAACAUUAAUGCGGAGAUUGGCCCUUAUUUCCCCACCUUAUGUGGGGUCCGGCAGGGCGACCCGUUCUCCCCUUUCCUUUUCAACAUGGUGGUCGACGCUCUUGCGGCCAUCCUUGACAAGAUAAAGGCUACGGGUCACAUUCGGGGAAUUAUCCCCCACCUGGUCGGUGGAAAUGGGGUAUCUCUGCUCCAAUACGCUAACGACACCAUUAUUAUGGUCGAAGGAUCCGCGAACGACAUCAUGAACCUCAAGUUCCUCCUACUAUGCUUUCAGCACCUAUCGGGUCUCAAGAUUAACUUCGACAAGAGCCAGGUUAUGGUGUUGGGGUACUCGCCUGAGGAGGCUCAGAGUAUUACCAACCGGCUUAAUUUCCCGUUGGGUUCCUUCCCCACUACCUACCUGGGGAUCCCCAUUAGUGACUCCCACCUGAUUGUUGCUGAUUUGAGGCCCUCGAUGCUCAUACCGCAACACCGCAUCGAACCCUGGCAGGGCAGAUGGUUCUCAACGGCGGAUCAGACCAUCCUCAUUAAUUCCAACCUGUCUAGCCUCCUGUUGUUUAUUAUGAGCUUGUACAGCCUUCCAGAGACUCUGCACCAUGAGAUUGGCACGAUCCAAGGCCCGCUUCUUCUGGGCGGGCGAGGGAGACAAGCAGAAAUAUCACAUGGUUCGAUGGCCCGUGAUCUGCAAGCCUCGUGA
This 729-nucleotide ribosomal RNA is filed under the name Triticum aestivum (bread wheat). RNAcentral's name for it is "partial small subunit ribosomal RNA". The record is from RNAcentral. Lineage: Eukaryota; Viridiplantae; Streptophyta; Magnoliopsida; Poales; Poaceae.